CCUACGGGAGGCAGCAGUGAGGAAUAUUGGUCAAUGGCCGAGAGGCUGAACCAGCCAAGUCGCGUGAGGGAAGACGGCCCUACGGGUUGUAAACCUCUUUUGUCGGGGAGUAAAGCGAGUCACGUGUGACUCAUUGUGAGUACCCGAUGAAUAAGCAUCGGCUAACUCCGUGCCAGCAGCCGCGGUAAUACGGAGGAUGCGAGCGUUAUCCGGAUUUAUUGGGUUUAAAGGGUGCGCAGGCGGUGGUGAAAGUCAGCGGUAAAAUUUCGGGGCUCAACCCAGUACUGCCGUUGAAACUGGAUCCCUUGAGUGCGCGAGAGGUAUGCGGAAUGCGUGGUGUAGCGGUGAAAUGCAUAGAUAUCACGCAGAACUCCGAUUGCGAAGGCAGCAUACCGGCGCGCAACUGACGCUCAGGCACGAAGGCGAGGGUAUCGAACAGGAUUAGAUACCCGUGUAGUC
This 459-nucleotide ribosomal RNA is filed under the name uncultured bacterium. RNAcentral's name for it is "partial 16S ribosomal RNA". It matches the Rfam family "Bacterial small subunit ribosomal RNA", at positions 338 to 795 of the family's 1533-position model. The record is from RNAcentral.